CUCCCCUUCUGCUUCAUUCUGCAAUCAGUCUCUAAACGCUAAGCAGCACUAACAGGCUCUCCAACAUUGCCUAUAAUUCAGGCAACGUUUGGAGUUAGUAGGCAGACUAGACAUCUAUUAUUUCUGUCUAGCUUUAUCUAUCUUGAUGGGCAAAUUACAGUGCAUACUGUUUGAAUUUGUGUUGGAUAAUUAUAGUUCAGGCUUGUGGAAUCAUAUAUGCUUUCAUGCUUAAAGGGACACUCUAGUCACCUGAACAACUUUAGCUUAAUGAAGCAGUUUUGGUGUAUAGAACAUGCCCCUGCAGCC
Molecule: non-coding RNA, 306 nt
Organism: Pelobates cultripes (western spadefoot toad)
Lineage: Eukaryota; Metazoa; Chordata; Amphibia; Anura; Pelobatidae
Source: the annotation of a GenBank genome assembly